AGACAUGCCAACUCAACGACAACAACAACAUCUAAGCCAACUCGAUAAAAUUUAAUGUCUUCUUUAUUGAUUGCCUUUGAUGCUGCAUGCUGUCAACAGUUUGCUUACAGCAAAUAUUAGCAUCCAAAGUGUCCCUUGUAUUAAUAUGCUGUGACUAGCAGGAACUAAAUUAAAAAAACACUGCAGAUAAAAAAAAUAUUGAACAAUGCCAUUGACUAGUAAAGUAAAUGAAGGAGAUAAGAAUUUUCCUAUUCCAUUUAA
RNAcentral lists this unclassified non-coding RNA (261 nucleotides) under Hevea brasiliensis (rubber tree). The record is from RNAcentral. Lineage: Eukaryota; Viridiplantae; Streptophyta; Magnoliopsida; Malpighiales; Euphorbiaceae.